GUUGGUGUUCUCCAUAGAAUCAGUCGUUUCAUAAAGAAGCUGAAGCUGCGGCGUGGAGUUGCUUCUGAGAUUCAAGAUAUCAAAUCAGCACUUGCUGCUAUAAAGGGAAGGGGAGAAAGCUAUCGAUUCAGAUCUAGUGAUGAACCAUCGAGCAGUGGAACCAGAAAUGUUAUCCCACAUGACUCUCGAGUUGGUUCCUUUUUUGUUGAAGAUGAUGAAGUUGUGGGCAUCGAAUCCAUUAAAGAUAAAUUGAUUGAUUUGAUGGUGAACGGAAGAUCCGAACGUUCAGUGGUUGCUGUGGUGGGUGAAGGAGGACUAGGCAAGACCACUCUUGCCGGAAAACUUUUUAACAAUGAUGGUUUAAAAACUCACUUCAGUAGCCGGGCUUGGGUCACCGUUGGGAAAGAAUACAACAAAAAUGAUUUGUUGAGGACAGUUAUAAAGGAGUUUCACCGUUUCUCAGGGCAACCUACUCCAGAGGAGACAGGCAACAUGGGAGAGAUGGACCUGAUCACCACGCUGAGGGACCACCUGAAGGACAAGAGUUACAUGGUUGUGUUCGACGAUGUUUGGAAGAUUGAUUUCUGGGGAGACGUGGAGCAUGCUUUACUUGAUAACAAGAAAUACAGCAGGAUAAUUGUCACAACACGGCUCAUGAAUGUCGCUAAGUAUUGCAAAUCAUCUUCCUCUGUUCACGUCCAUGAGCUUGAAACUUUGCCUCUAUAUGAGGCGUGGAAACUUUUUUGUAGAAAGGCGUUCGGACCAAGCUCCGGAGGCUCUUGUCCUUCAGAGUUGAAGGAGUUGUCCCAGGACAUCCUUGCAAAAUGUGGAGGUUUGCCUCUUGCUAUCGCGGCCAUAGGUGGACUUCUUUCAACCAAGAACAGGGUUGUAUCUGAAUGGAAGAAAUUAUUUGAUCGGUUGGGCUCAAUCUUAGGAGGUGAACCCCAUCUAAAAGACUGCAACAGAGUUUUAUCUGAAGGGUGUCAUGAUCUUCCUCACCAUCUCAAAUCAUGUCUUCUCUACUUUGGCUUAUUUCAAGAGAGCUGCAAAGUUAACUGUGCUACACUCAUCCGUUUGUGGAUAGCUGAGGGCUUUGUCCAGUACAGCAACCGCCCCACAUCUGAACAAGUUGCAGAAGAAUACUUGAAUGAGCUCAUUGACAGAAGCUUGGUUCAAGUUUCAGAGAGAGAUAUUUCUGGACGAGCUAGAAUCUGCCAAGUUCAUGAUCUUAUGCACGAGAUCGUCAUCAGAAAAACUGAAGAAUUGGGCUUUGGUCGUGUGCUGAACGGAGAGGACUUGAGUCAUUGCAGUAAAACUCGACGCAUAACUAUACAGAGAAGUAUUGAUGAUAGUGCUUUAGAGAGCAUCAAGGACUGGAAGGUCCGUUCUGUUUUUCUUUUCAAUGUAGAUAAGCUGCCCGACUCUUUCAUGAAUACAAGUAUUGCCAAUUUCAAGCUCAUGAAAGUACUAGAUCUGGAAGAUGCUCUUAUAGUUUACCUUCCUGAAGGAGUGGCAAGCUUACUCAAUUUACACUACUUGAGUUUGAGAAAUACAAAAGUAGAAAUAAUUCCCAAGUCCAUUGGAAAUCUUCUCAGUUUAGAGACUUUGAAUAUGAAAAAUACUUUGGUGAGAGAACUGAUUAAACAAAAACAAACUUUAUGCCCUUAAUCGUGCAUUUCCAAAUAAACACAUAUUUUAGGUAAUUUCGAAAUUUACCAUGAUCUCCCAUGAAUCCGACCUUGGAAGCUUGUUAUGGAGCUUUAUCGAGUUGCUACAAGCCUGAUCUAACUUCAGAAUUCCGCUUCCUUUGCUUCAGUUCCAGAAUCGGCUUUUCUCAACAAGUUACUGUACACACACGGGAGAGAAACGGGAGAGAGAGAGGUGCACUGCACUCGUGCCACAGAUUUCUUGAACAGUGAACUUCCAAUGGGCUGAAGUUACUUAAAUACAGUGGUUGAGCGCAAGGACCCCUCAUGUGUUAGUACAAAAUUGCCCAUCCCAUUAUGAGCUAAAUAACACAAUCAAGGAUUAUACUUGUCUAUAAUAUACUACUGUCUAGGGUAUGUCAAAAUCAGACUCAUUAACACAAUAUUUGAUCACUUAAUAAAUGAGUCUGUCAAAAUUGCUCCAUAAUAUUUGACAAUAGUCACGUAUUAAUUCAGUAAAAUAUAGAAAACAAUUAGAAUGAUUUAUGCCAGUCCACAUAAUGUGAGAAAUAAAUCUAACAAUCUCACACUUAGACGGCAGAAAUCACUCUAAGGAUAAAUUUAAAAAUAAAAUCAGAUGUAGAAAACAACCGAAUUAAUCAAUAUGUGACUAUAACAAAAGGUCAAAUGCAAGCAAUCACCCAAAACAUAAAUAAGUCCAAAGGUGCCAUAAAUAUCAAGUCAUAUGUGCACCGACAGGAUGCUCCACAUAACAAGACACUUAUAAACACGUGACUAUGCAGUAGUAUAAAAGUAUAAUUAUGGAAAUAACAUGACAAUGUGAUCAACAUGCUCAUUUCCACAAAGUCCACAUGUCUAGCAAAAUGAGACGAAAACAAUAUGUCUCCUAGACCAUUGCUUCUUUAUAACCAUAAUAAGACUCUAGCAAAAUGUCUCGAGAAGCGGGCUUCCCUUUUAAUCAUAAUGAGACUAAAUCAAAAUGUCUCAAGGAAGUCGUGCUUUCUUAUAAUUAUAAUGAGACUAAAUCAAAAUGUCUCAAGAUGCACACGGAAGGUAAGUCAUAAUGCUUCAGUCUUUAAUGUCCAUAUUGAGACUGAGCAAAAAUGUCUCGGACCAUAAUAUCCUCAUUCUAUACAUAAUGCCAUACGCAGCCAAAUGUGUACACAAUAUAUGGCAUAUCAAUAUCACAUAACAACAUGCAUGCAUGAUAACAAAACGAGUAAUACAUAAUCUCAUUUAAGUUGCAACUCAUAAUACAAACCAGAACUCCCACUGACUCAGCAUAUAUAAGUGGAUUCUAAUAAUCUCAUAUGCGUCACAUGCUCCCUAAAUACCUUUGGAGCUAAAGCUUUAGUAAGUGGAUCGGCUAACAUGAGUUCUGUAGGAAUAUACUCUACUGAUACAUAAGAUAGAGAAAUUUUCUCUCUCACAAAUAAGUAUUUAAUAUCAAUGUGCUUGGAACGUGAGGAACUCCCUGUAUUGUGAGAAAAAGAAACAGCUGCAGAAUUAUCACAGUAUAUUUUUAAUGGCCUCGGUACGGCCAAUAUACAAUCUAGCCCUGUGAUAAAAUUCUGCAUCCAUAAAGCUUGACGUGUAGCCUCAAAACAUGCUACAUAUUCUGCUUCCAUUGUUGAAGAAGCUAUGAGUGUCUGCUUGGCACUUUUCCAUGAUAUAGCUCCUCCUGCCAUCAUAAAGAUGUAACCAGAUGUGGAUUUCUUGUCUUCCAAGCACCCUGCGAAAUCAGCAUCAGAAUAUCCAACUAUAUUCAAAUAGUCAGAUUGCUGAUAUGUCAAUACAAAAUCUUUAGUGGCUUGCAAAUAUCUGAGUACUUUCUUUGCAGCCUUCCAGUGUUCAUAUCCAGGAUUGCUCAGGUAUCUUCCAAGUACUCCCACUGGAAAAGCAAUAUCAGUGCGAGUACAGACUUGAGCAUACAUCAAGCUACCCACAACAAAUGCAUACGGGACUGUUUGCAUUCUAGCUUUGUCGACAUCAUUAUCGGGACAUUGAGACUUGGAAAUCUUGUCACCUUUUGACAUUGGAGCUUGCCCAGGAGCACAAGACUGCAAAUUGAACCUUUUCAAAAUACGAUCAAUGUAAGUCUUUUGAGACAAUCCUAGAAUUCCUCUAGAUCUGUCACGAAGAAUCUCUAUCCCUAAUACAUAAUGGGCUUCACCAAGAUCCUUCAUAUCAAAGCUGUAUGACAACAUUUGCUUUGUCUCAAGUAAAAAAUUAGUGCCAUUAGCAGCGAGCAAGAUAUCAUCCACAUAAAGCACCAAAAUGAUAUACUUGCUCUCACUAACUCUCAAGUAUAUACACUGAUCAACAACAUUCUCCUGGAACCCAUAAGAGGUGACAAUAUCGUGAAAUUUCAAAUACCACUGUCUGGAUGCCUGUUUAAAUCCAUAAAUGGACCUUUUAAGCUUACACACCAUGUUUUCUCUAUCAGUCUCAACAAAACCAUCAGGUUGCACCAUGUACACAUCUUCAGACAAGCUCCCAUUGAGAAAAGCUGUCUUCACAUCCAUCUGAUGCAAUUCUAAAUUGAAAUGAGCUACCAAUGCCAUGAUAAUACGAAAAGAGUCUUUGGUAGAAACAGGAGAGUACGUUUCAGUGUAAUCAAUGCCUUCUCUUUGACUGAAACCCUUAGCCACAAGCCUGGCCUUGUACCUCUCUACCUGACCUCUGGCAUCUCUCUUGGUUUUGAACACCCAUUUGCAACCAAUUGGUCUACAUCCAUCUGGCAACUCAACUAAAUCCCAAACCCCAUUAUGAUACAUAGAUGCCAUCUCAUCAUGCAUCGCAUGUAUCCAAGAUGAUGAUUCUGAACAACUGAUGGCCUCUUGAAAGGUAAUAGGAUCAGAUGAUGAGUCAGCAUUAAAAUCAUGUUCCUGCAAGUAAACAACAUAAUCAUCAGGAAUUGCAGGUCUCCUGAUCCUCUCUGAUCUCCUCAAUUGCACAUCAGUAACAUCAUCCACUACAAUCAUAGGCUCCAUAUCAUGAUGAAGUUCAGGAUCAACUGAAGAAACAUCAAUGUGUGAUAAUCCCAUCGCAGAAGUCGGAAAAGAUAGAAUAGGCAAAACCACACGUUCUUCUCUUAAUGUAAGACUGCGAGGCUCAGAACUCACACCAUUGUGAUCAUCCUCAAAAUAAAUGGCACGAUCAGACUCAAUGAUUCUAGUAGUGUGGGAAGGACAAUAAAAUCUAGAACCCAUUGAGCCUAUACAAUAGCCAAUAAAAUGACCACUAAUGGUUUUCGAAUCAAGUUUCCUUGAUUGUGGAUUAUAGGGCCUCACUUCUGCUCUGCAUCCCUGGACAUGGAAAUGACGAAGACUCGGUCUCUUCCCUGACCACAAUUCAUAAGGAGUUUUGGGCACCGACUUACUAGGUACCUGAUUCAAAAUGUAAGCUGCAGUUCUUAAGGCUUCACCCCACAGAAAAUCUGGUAAGGUGGAGUUACUCAGCAUACACCGCACCAUGUCAAGAAGGGUACGAUUUCUCCUUUCUGCAAUUUCAUUCUGUUCAGGAGUUCCGGGCAUUGUAUACUGGGCUUCUAUUCCACAUUCCUGAAGAAAUUUAGCAAAAGGUCCAGGAUUACGCCCAGUUUCAUCAUAUCGCCCAUAGUACUCACCACCUCUGUCUGAUCUUACUGCUUUAAUUUUCUUGCCCUUUUGGAUCUCAACAUUAGCCUUAAAGGCUUGAAACACAGAUAAAGAUUCAAACUUUUCAGUAAGAAGUUCAACAUGACCAUAACGAGAAAAGUCAUCGAUGAACGUGAUGAAGUACUUAUAACCUCCAAUAGCAAUAGGAGUAAAUGGCCCACAGAUGUCUGUAUGUACCAACUCCAACACCUGUUGACUCCUCCGAGUUCUCUCUUUUCUGGCUUUGGCAGUAAGUUUGCCUUUGAUACAAUCAACACAAGUGCCAAAAUCAGAGAAAUCUAAAUUAUGAAGAAUGUCAUCUUUAAUGAGCCUUUCCAUCCUCUGUUUAGAAAUGUGACCUAACCGUUUAUGCCACAACAUAGAGGAAUUUUCAUUAACCCUCGCACGAUUAGAGCUAACAACAUUCAUAACAUGAGCAUUGGAUGAUGAUUCAACAGCACGAGAAAAUAAAUCAAUCAUAUAUAAGCCAUCAUAUAGAGUGCCAGAACCAACUAACUCUGAAUUGCGGAAUAAGUAAACUUUUCUAUCACCAAAAUGAAAAGUAUAGCCACAUCUAUCCAAAAUAGAUAUAGAUAUCAAGUUUCUCCUUAUAGAAGGAAUAUAAGUCGUAUCUAACAGAUCCAAAAAAUAGCCUGUGGCUAGAUGUAGUCUGACAACUCCUAUACUUUCAACUUUGGCUGUCACUCCAUUGCCCAUGUGAACUAUCAACUCCCCUUCAUUGGGCUCCCUCCUGCUUUUGAAUUCCUGUAAGGAAUUCGUUAUAUUAAUGGUUGCACCAGUAUCCAACCACCAAGUAUCAGAAGGAACAUCAACUAAAUUAGAUUCAAAGCCUACAAAGGCUACAUGAAUACCUUUCUUUUCCAACCAUGCUUUGAAUCCCCUGCAUUCAGCUCUAUUGUGCCCAGGUUUCUUACAAAAAUGGCACUUUCCCUUAAAGUUCUCAGAAGUGGAACCAAAAGUGGUAGAAGAAUUACCACGUGAAGUUUUCUUUCCAAACUUUUUCUUCUUGAAAAACUUAUUGCUGCCCUUUGAAGAGCCUUUCUUCACACUCCCACUCUCUUGAGUAGUUGCCACCAUGACAGUGUGAGAUUUCCCCUUCUUCAAUGAUUCCUCUUCUUGAACCACAUAAGCAGUCAACUCAGUGAUAUUCCAAGUGUCUCUCUGAGUAUUGCAUUGGCUUCUCAAAUUGCCAAAUUGUGGUGGAAGGGAUUCAAGGAUUUGGAAGACUAGGUAGUCAUCAGGCAGAUUGACAUCCAUGUCCUUUAACUUCUUAUGGUAACUGGUCAUCUUAAGGAUGUGCUCUCUGACCCCAGAAACACCAUCAUACUGGGUAUUAGCAAGCAGCCUCAGAUAGUUACCCUUUUCUGCCUUAUCUACCUUCUUAAAAGUUCUUCCAACAGCUGCCAAGUAAUCUUUGGCCUUAUCACAUGCAUGAAUGCUAUCUCUAGUUGUUCUAUCAAUGAUGUAUUUCAUUGUAUCCAGACAGUGUCUAUUGGAUUCAUCCCAAGCUGCCCACUCUGCUUUUCCAGCAGCAGUGCUCUUAUCUGUGGGCUUGGCUGGUUCAUCAACUCUUAAUGCCAAGUCUCUAUUCAAUGUAGACAGAUAAAACAAAAUGGACUCACACCAGUCCUCAAAAUUUGUCCCAGUUAAAUUCUUGAGGGAGGCUACUUGGAGAAAUGAGAGAAUAUCUAGAGCUGAGGAAGCAAUAACAAAAGAAUUAUCAAGCAUGCAAAAAAUUAAAAUCAUGCUAUACUCAAUUACUCUUCAUUCUAAGUUUCUCCAAUAGCAACACAAUAUGUUAGGCAUCCUUUAACAAUAUAGGAGUGCACUAACCUAAAGAUAAAGCAGACAAGUUGAAUAUAACACCAACAUUGACCUAUUACCGACAGGGUAAUCAAGCCACUCAGUAGAAAAUACUCAACAAAUCUCUUUAUCUUCCCAAGUAUCCUACCAAGUAGUGAUUUUCCGACAAGGAAGUAUCAUCACCCGUAUGGAUCUUGGUAAUAACAAUAACAAUUCAUCGCAAAAUUCAUAAUCAAUAAUGACAAAUGGGCAUCUAAUUGCAAAAUACGAAAUAAUUUAUCAUGAUUGGCCCUACAAUAAGCAGAUACACAAUCACUCUAAAUUGUAGUUUUGCAUCAUAUAUAUAUUUCAUACAUUAACAAAAUUGAGGCUAAAUAAACUUUGUCAAACGCAAUUAAAGUUUCUACUAAGAUAUUAAAUCAAAAAAAAUAUCUACACGCCUCAAUAAAAUAUAUGAAUUUUAUGCCCAUAAUAUCCAACAAUGAUGGAUUAUUAUAAAUUCUAAAUUCUAAAAAAUCGCCAAAAUUGUAAGGCUUUUGGACUAAAGUGACGAAUUUUCAGAAUUAUGAUUACUGUUUUAAAUAUUAAAACUAUUGGCCCAAACUGUAAAUAAAAUAAAAUAAAAUGUUGGGCCAUAAUAUAAUUUAUCAUAAUUAAAGGGACCAAAUGAUGUUUGACCACGCUGACCUUCGGUCAAGGACCAUUAUGAAAAUUUUGCAAAUAUUUUGGGCCAUAAUGACAUUUCGUAUAAAGUUUAGGGUAUGUCAAAAUCAGACUCAUUAACACAAUAUUUGAUCACUUAAUAAAUGUCAAGGACCAUUACUUGUCCAUAAUGUCAAGGACCAUUACUUGUCCAUAAUAUACUACUGUCUAGGGUAUGUCAAAAUCAGACUCAUUAACACAAUAUUUGAUCACUUAAUAAAUGAGUCUGUCAAAAUUGCUCCAUAAUAUUUGACAAUAGUCACGUAUUAAUUCGGUAAAAUAUAGAAAACAAUUAGAAUGAUUUAUGCCAGUCCACAUAAUGUGAGAAAUAAAUCUAACAAUAACUUUCAGUUGAGAUCAGGAAUCUUAAAAGGUCUCGUUAUCUAAUGGUGUAUCAGUACAAUUAUACCGCAGGUGCAACAGUAGCAGAAGAAGCAGCAGUAAAAUUACACGAGGGCUUUGGGUCUCUAACGAAUCUGCAGAAGUUGUGUAUUAUAGAUGCUGACUCUGAAGCGCUCAAAGAGCUUAUGAAGCUAAGGCAGUUAAGAAAGUUGAGCAUGAGGCCCCAAAAUGGAAGUGGCAAGGAUCUGUGUGCUUUGAUUGCAAAUUUCGAAAACCUAGAGAAUUUAACAGUACUAAUGAAAAGCAAAAAAGAAGUACUUGACUUGCAAUCUUUGAGUAAUCCUUCUCAAUAUCUGCAGCGUCUCUACUUGAAAGGGAAUAUGAAGAAACUGCCGGAUUGGAUUGUUAAACUAAAAAAUGUAAUCAGAGUCCUUCAAGCCUUGCCUAAUUUAUUGGAACUUUUACUCAUAAGGACAUACAACUACGAGCUUUUUCACUUUGAAGCAGGUUGGUUUCCAAAACUCCAAAUAUUGAAUCUCUUUGGCUUCGUCCCUGUGAAAUCGGUUAUAAUAGAGAAAGGUGUUGCGGAAACGUGGGUUGAGCAAUUACUAAUACUGCAACUUCUGGAGAAAUAUAAAUGUGGUGAUAAACAAAUGCAAAGAAAAUAAAACACAAUAUAUUUACGUGGUUCGGCGUAAUGCCUACGUCCACGGGCAAAAACUGGAAGAUAAUUUUACUAACAAUGGAAUUUACAAAAGUGGGAAAAACUCACAAAACCCACAACCCCAAUACACCCAAAUAGAACCUCACUAGAACACUCAAGUGGAAGCUCUCUCAAAUUCUCUCAAAGAACUCACUUGCAAUUGCUCUCUACUUCUCUCAAAUUGGGAUGAUUAACAAAUGAGGAAUUGCCUUCUAUUUAUUAGGAAAAAUGGGGUGCACUAUUGCACCAACCCCAACAAAAUUGUCAACAUAAAUUAGGCACCUACCUUAUGAAUUUGUUGUCAAAUUUGCUUCUCCAAAGUUGAAUGCAUGCAGGGCAACAACUUGUCAAAUAUUUGUGCCACCAACCUCCAAUUUGUCAAGAAACAAACGUGUGAAAAUAAGCUUUGUGGGCUGACUUUUCAACAAAAGGUGCGAUGCCUGAUAUUAGAGAACUGCGGAUUGGGCCUUGCCCAUUGUUGAUGGAGAUUCCUAUUGGAAUUGAACAUCUUAAAAACCUUAAGCAACUCAGAUUUGCUAGUAUGGUUAAACAAGUUUAUUACAUGACAAAAGGCGAGAACUGGGGGAAGGUUACUGAGCAUAUACCAGAUGUCCUUGUCACUUUUGUGCAGGCCGGGCGACUGUUUUAUUAUCGAAAAGAGGAUCUCUCAUCUCUGUCUCCUGAAUAUGUCGAGCAAAUCUGCUGAAGAAGAGGACUCAAAUAGGGAGCAGUCAUGCACGUCUAUGAAAUAAGUAAAUAGGUCUGCCACUCUCCUGCGUAUUUGGAUUAUUUUCUAUUUACUUUUAAGAAAAAUUAUUUUUCUCAUUUUUAAUUUGACAGACAAUUUAAUUAUAUAUAAUUCAAAUAAAAAUUCACCAAGAAAAUUCCUUUUUCCUUGUAAUUUGAGUACGUUUAAUAAAUAAAUAAACAAAUGCAGUAGGUCAGGAAAUCUUUUUCUAGUCAAAUAUAUAGUUAGAAUCAUAUAAUGAUUAGGUAUUAAUGUUAGUAUAGUAAAUUCCGUUAUAUUUUUUGUUACCAUGAACAGAUGGAGUAUAUAUAUCUUGCUUCUAGCGAAUUCAUUGAUGAGUUCAUCGAACCUAUACUGGAUCAGAUUGUGGGGGUAAUGCUACUAUUGAUAUGCUUUGAGUUUGAGUAAUUAUUAUCAGUGUUAUCGUGUAAUACAUGCUUAUGUGAGUGGUUGCUGCUGUGAGUGUGAGUGUAUUUCUAUAUAUUUAAAUCUGAGAUUAUGAUUCUAGAAAUAUUGUAUUAAAAGAAGGUAGGUGACUCUAAUGUUAGAAAAUUACAUAUGAUUUGAUUGAAUUAGCUUUUUUGCUUUUGGAAUUGCUUUAAGUUGCUCAAGGAAUGAUCCCGCAUAGGCUCACUCAUUAUAAUCUAUAUAUUCUAUCAAAGUGUUAGUUUUUGCGUGAAUUAAAGAGAAAGAGUGCUGGAAAUUUCAUUUUAUUUACUUUUCCAUGUCGUGGAUAAAUGAGAGCCGAGUUUUUGCGUGAAUUAAAGAGAAAGAGUGCUGGAAAUUUCAUUUUAUUUAUUUUUCCAUGUCGUGGAUAAAUGAGAGCCGAAACAAUGUUGAGUCUCUUCACAAUAAAAGUAAUUUUCGUACAUCUUUUCCUUCAGCUUUAUGAUACGCAAUGCACAUAGUCCUUAGUCCCUACACCUGCCCCUUUAUUAAUUAUUGGUUGAGAAACUUGUGGGCCUUAAAUGAUCGCAUAUAUACUUUUUUCCUUCAUUAUCACCCUUUCGCACUAAGUAUCACAAUCGUAUAUUAAGGCAACAAAUAUAAUAAAUAAAAUAAAAUAAAACCAUUAAAAGAAAUUGUAACCGCUACCAUCAAUAAAAACCUGUCUUGGUUUGGUUGGAAGAAUUUCCGUAAAAAUACAGAUGGCAUUUGAUUUGAAUUUGAAAUGUUAAUUAAGGAAACUAAUAAACAAGGAAAUACAAAUCCUCAAAUAAAUAAAUAAAUAAGGAAACACAAAUGACCAUAUAUACAUAGGCCGGCCCGGGCCCUUGGACAUGACACCAUAACCCUCCAAUAAUUUCAAUUUUUAUUAUCGUUCCCAAAACACCCUUCCAAACUUUUCCAGCGUUAAUAGUCAUGAAGAUAAUUUAUUAAUUUAAUCAAACAAUAAAGAUAAUUAUGUCAUUUUAUAUUUUUGGGUCAAGUCAAGUGAGGCAUUUUCUUCCAUCCUGAUCAUCUGCCAUGCAAACAUCUGGGUAAACUUUCUUCCAUCUUAUAACAUCAGGGCUUCUUCUCUGAUUCUUAUGGUCAUUCAUUCAUUUCUCUAAUCUCUUUUUCCUCUUACAUGUUUUUUUUUUAAGAUUUUUUUUUAUCAUAUGAUGUGGCAGAAAUUAUCCUGUUUAAAAAAUCUUUAUCCUAAAUUUGAUAUGUUACGUUGUUACUUAACCGUAAACAAAUGAUCAAUUUUACAUGAAAAUAGUAAAAUGACCAGAAAAAUCAGGAGAAUGUAUUAUUAAUGCCUUUGUGUUAUAUAUAUAAAAUUGAAUUUCAUAUGAUGAGAGGCCAAAAUCACCCUGUUUACAAAUCUUUAUCUUCAAUUUGAAUUGUUUGACUUAAAAACUAGAACUAUCAAAUAAGAGUCAGCAUUAGAACAAAAGUUAAAUAUAACAUUCCAUUCCCUUCUUUACAAGGUGGAUAUGAUUUUAAGGUCACAUGUAUUUAGAGGCAAAAUUAGGACUUCUUGCAAGCUGGUGGUUAGACUAUUUUUUUUAAGUUAAAAAAAGAAAAAGAAUCUUAAAGUAAAACUAUUGAAUUAAACCACAACAAUAAGUUCACAUUUUUUAGGUUUGAAAAAUAUUUUUUGAAUUAUGUUUAUUUCAAAAAAAUCAAAUUUCAAAAUUAUGACUACGAUACCCCAUGAUUGCCAUACUCCACAACCUGGCACCGUUAGAUGGUUCUAAAUUAUUGACUUUAAUUAUUUUUUUUAAUUGUCUAAUGAUACUUAGGUGUCGUUUAUUUUUUUUAUCUGAAAUCUGAAUAGACCUGAAUUAGUCUGAAGUCUGAAUAGAUCUGAAUGUCUGAAUCUGAAUAAUAUGUUUGUUUUUUCGUCUGAAUCUCGAAAAAUAAGUAUUAAGUUGUUUGUUUUUUUCAACUGAAAAAGCUGAAAAUAUGUACUUUUACAUUUGUAUCCUUAUUAAAUUUGAAUGUCAAAUAAAUAAUAUAUUAAAUACCACAAUAUUUUAACAUUUAUAAGUAAAAUUAUAUUCAAGUAAAUACAUAAUUAUUUUAGAAUUUUAAUAUAUAAAAUACCAUAAAUUUCAAAUUUUAUCGUAUAUAAUAUAAGAAAAAAAAACAGGGAUAUUUUUAUGUGGGGUAAAUGUCUAUGGGUGAGUUUUGGGAUAGACAUGAAAAAUAAAUUAUAAAACAUGGAUAUUUUUGACAUUAGUAAGUAAUUGACUUAAUUCAAAUUUAUCCAUUAAGUAAAAAGCCAAAAAAAUUGGCUUAUUUUAUUAAGUCAAAAUUAUCUAAAAAGUCUCAUUAAGUUAUAAAAACAAACACCUCUAAUUAACUUAAUUAAUUAAGUUAAGUCACUUUAAGUUAUUAAGUUAAAAAACAAACACCACCUUAGUCUGGGGAGUACGAUACCCUUAGAAAUCAUAGAUAGACACUUUACACAAUUUAAAGCUAAAUGAGUAAUAAAUAUCUUGUCAUAAUUAGUUUACUUGAGACCAAAAAUAGAUUUCUAAAACAAGAUGGAGUGGGAAAGAAUUUGGGAAAAAUGACCGUGACCAAAUUUUAAAACAACUUGAGUGAUAAACUUGUAAAUUAUGCUGUGGUAUUUCGUAAAAAAAUAACAGUGAUAGCUAGUUUUAUAAAUACUAGUAAUUUUGUGAACAACAUAGUAAAAAAAAAAACUAAAUAAUAAUAAUAAUAAUAGUAAUUAUUAUUAUUAUUAUUAUUAUUAUUAUUAUUAUUAUUUUGACGUAUCUUGCUUAUUUGGAAGUCAACAUAAAUUGUAUAUUUGCAAGGACAAGAAACUGUGAUUUAGAAAUUCGAGGAGGCACUGUCAAAUUUCGACACUCUAAAGAAGCUGGGAGCAUCCAUUCUCCAUGGAGUUGAUGCAACUGAAAUGAAGGAACAUCCUGAAUUGAGCAAGCGGAAAUUUGAUAGAAUAAUCUUCAACUUCCCUCAUGCUGGCUUUCAUGGAAGGGAAGACGACGACGAAUUUUUCAAUGAGCUACCUAGUAAGUCCAAUGGACAUAUGUGUCAAUAUAGUGAGUUAAAAAUGGUUAUAUAUAAUAAGAGGGAACUUGAUAUAUAAAGGGAUCCAUAUGAAGAAACGAGUGUUUUUCAUUUCUUAAGUAAAAUGUUAUACAUUGAGCAUAUUUAUAGAUGCAGAUAUUACAAUUUUUCAAAAAUUAGAUACACGUAUUACGAAAGGAUCUCACCAACCGCGUCGUUGCCGUUUGGUGCGGAUCGUGUCUUUGACAACUUCAAUUCGAUGUCGUUUUAUUGACAUUCUCAACACUCCCUGUAAUACCCCAAAUCGCCUGAGGGUAUUUAAAUAUUUUUAAUUUUUAGUGAUCAUUUUAACCCUAUGUCUUUCCCAUUAUAAGAGAGGGAGGGGGAGAGAGAGAUCGAUUGAGGAAAAAAAUGACAGAAGAGAGAGAGAGAGAGAGAGAGAUGGAGAGAAACUAGAGAAAAGAAAAGAAAAAGAGAAGAAGAAUUAUUCUUAGUUCUGCCAUAGGCGACACAUGGGAUCAAGUUGUGUUGUUUGAAUUGGAUAUUGUUGGGAGAACUUUUGGAGGUAAGUUUUAAUUCUUGGUUUUCUUUAUUAAUUCGUUAUGGAGAAACAUGAUUAGAUAUUUGCAAUAGAAGUAGAAACCUAAGAUUUUACAGGAAAUAUGCUGACAAUGCAUUAUUACGCAAAUCAUAAUAAUUUGUACAAAUUGAUUUUCAUUCUGAUUUUUGGAUAUGUUAAGUUAGACAUCUUAUAGAAUGUUUUGAAACUUGUUUCAAGUUAAUCGGAUAAGAUUUCAUUUAGUUACGAUUUUUCAAACUUAGGUCUAAAAGCCUAGAAAUUUCUGAUUUCAGUGAAUAACAUGAAUUACGAAAUUAUUUUUACCAUAGCUAGACUUCUUCAAAAAUUAUGAAAUUUGGAUCAGUGAUUUUUAUAUAUGUCUAAUAUGAUUCUAUAUGUUUUUAUGAUUUUAUGAUAAAACAAUAAAUUGUUUUGUAUUUUUAAACAAGUAUGUUCAAAACAGAAAACUGUUUGAUAGUAUUGAUGAUGUCUGAAAUGCCAAUUAUUUUCGAUAGUUUUUGAAGGAAUUUAGUUAUGAAUUUUUUAUCAAAGAAUUUUCAAUAUGUCAGAAUAUGGUCUAUAAAAUUUGAGAUUUUUCCAAUGAGAGAAUAAUUUAUUAAAAAUAGAAAACAAGGACUGUUUCAUUUUGAGGGUCGAACAUUGAGGACAUUUGAGGUUGAAUUUAGGAGCUAUUUAAAAUGAGAUAUUUGAGGACAUUAAAGUUUAUGAUUGAGACUUGAUUAUAUCUUAUGGAAAUUUUAUUGAUAAUUUUAGGUCGACGAUAUCAGUACGCAUUUGUUACAUGAUGAUGCCAAGAAGUAAGUAAACUAGACUUCAAAACAAAUCACAAUAAACAAUAUGUAUAUGUUUGACUUAUUUGAAAAGUCUAUUUUUGAUAUUUACAUAUGUAGAUUUAUAUGUUUCUGCCCAUGUGUUUAUGUGAUGUAUUGCUAUGUGUUGAGCGUGAUUAUGUACAUGGGUAUAUGUAUGUGUGAAAUUUAAUUGGCAUAAGCACGAAAAUGCAUUGAGUUUUCUAUGAAUGAGAAAAUGGAUAUUAACAAAUGAAAUUUCUACUUUAUGAGAUUUUGCAUUGGGGGUCACCUAUUGAAGCUGUGUGGGGCCACCUCUUGAGACUAUGUGGGGGCCAACUCUCGAGAGUCGACGUGCCGCGAAGUGCCACGCAUGGUGUAAAGUGCCAUGUAUAGCACAAAGUGCCACAUUGUAGGAUACAUAUUUUAUUGAAAGAAAAUGUGGAAGUUUGAAAGGGACAUAAAGAGAUUUUGAUAAGUUUGUUUCAAGUAUUUUGAAAAUAUCAUGACAUAUCAUCCAUGUGUGCAUUAUUUAUAAGUAUGUAUAUAUUUUGGUAUAAGAAAAACUAAUUUGCUUAUUGAGUUUUGUACUCAUUAUAGUUUAUUAUGAUUUAGUUUCCAGAAGUCAUGAUUGAUUCGUGAUGAGUGAGAAGUGGCUUUUGUAUUUGAGGCUUGAAUUAUUAUCGGCUGUAAAAAGUUAUUUAAAUUCAUAUGUGAGUCGUGGUCAGAUUUGCCCUUGGACUGGGGUGUUACACUCUCCCUCAAGCUAAUGCAUAGAUGUCUUGCAUACCCAGCUUGUCUAGGAAUUUUGUAAAUGAUUGGCUAGAAAUGACCUUUGUUAAAAUAUCUGUAAGUUGAUCUUUUGACUGAAUUUUCAACAAUUCUAAGAUUUUUCAUCUAAUUUCUCCUUAAUUAAAAAUCUAUCUACUUGACGUGUUUUGUUUGAUCGUGCUGAACUAGGGUAUGAGCAAUAUCUCAUGUAGCUUUGUUGUCACAGUAUAAUUGUAUUGGUUGUUGCUAUUAAUAGCCCAAAUAUUUUAAGAUACAGCUUAACCAUAACCCUUCACAUACCCCAAGGGCCACGCCUUGAUAUUCUACUUCAGUGCUCGAACGGGCAAUGACAUGUUGUUUGUUGCUUCUCCAUGUGAUAAGGUUGCCUCCCACAAAGGUAAAAGAGCCUGAGGUAGAAUGUUUAUCACUAGUUGACCCAGCCCAAUCUACAUUAGUAUAAACUUCUAUGCUGUUGCAAUCUUUAUUUUUGGAAAAUAUGAUUCCUUUUCCUAGAUUUGACUUCAGGUACCUCAGGAUCAGCAUGAUUGCUUUCAUAUGAUGUUCUCCGGGAUUGUGCAUGAACUGACUUACAACACUCAUUGCAUAAGCAAGAUCUGGCCUUGUGUGAGACAAGUACAUCAAUCUUCCAAUCAGCCUUUGAUAUCUUCCUUUGUCUACUGAAACUUGGUCUAAGGUAAUACAUAACUCCAGUCCUUCUUCUAUUGGGGUGUAAAUAGGCUGACAAGCUGUCAUUCGCAUUUCGUGCAAUAGAUCUGAGGCAUAUUUCCUUUGAGAUAAGAAGAUUCCUUCCUUAGAUCGAGAAACCUCGAUUCCACAAAAGUAUUUUAAGGCUCCUAAAUCCUUCAUCUCAAACUCUCUCGACAAAUACUUCUAAAGAGCUUCUCUUUCUUCCUCAUCGUUGCUUGUAACUACCAUGUCAUCCACAUAGAUGAUAAGGGCAGUGAUUUUACAUUGUCGUUUUUUAAUGAACAAGGUAUGAUUUGCCAAAAAACCUCAAAGACUUUUUGAAUUUCCCAAACCAUGCUCUUGGGGAUUGCUUCAACCCGUAUAAUGAUUUCUUCAAUUUACAUACUUUUUGAUUGAGUCAUUCUAGUCUACUGCAUCCUGGUGGAAAAUCCAUAUAAAUUUCUUCAGUCAGGUUGAUUAGUGUUAAAAAUUAUAUGUUUAUUAAGGGGUAAAAAUGUUAUUUUGUGAUAUUAAUGUAAUUUAUAUUUGUAAUUGUGUAACAUAUUGUGAAUUUCUAAUUAUUUUUUCUAAAUAUUUGAUUUUGUGUAUUUUUGUGUGUUUAUUAGGUAAAAAUAAUAAUUUCAUGCAAUUUGAGGCUUCAAACAAAUGUACGGAUGUCAAAUUUGGAUUCUGGACGUCCGAGAAAUUAUGUCAUUGUCGAGGAGGAUGCGAGACUUUUGUUGUAAAUUUUUAAGUUUUUACCAUGGUAAAUAUGGUAAUUGUAAAAUUAUAAGUUUUUAUCAUGUUAGGUAUGCUAAUUGUUAGUGGAAUGUGUUGGAUAUGCUUGAAUGGAUUAAGUUAGGUUUAUGUUUUAUUAGUGAGAUAAAUGUAAGGUUAAGAUGUAAUUAGAUUUAUUUAUUUGUGUGGUAUAGAUUUGCCAUGUAUUAGUAUAAAUAGAGAGGGGGUAACACACCUCUUCACACCUUCUCUUCUCUUCUUUCCCCCCAAAUUCUUCUUCUCAUCUCUCUUUGUAAUAUAUUUUCAAUCAUUAAAGUUAGUUUUAUUUUAAUUUUCAAAAUCCAUUUUUUAAUUAUGUGUUUUUCAAUUUUAAUAAUUCCCUUUAUUUCAAAAAAUGUUUAGCUAAAUAUUAGUAGUUAGGGGAAGGUGAAACUCUUAGUAAAAAUAUGGUUUAACCAAAUUCUAUUUUUAAUUUUAUAAAUUAAAUUGUUUUCUAUUUAAUUUUAUCCAUAUUUUAUGUUUUGAAAUUUUGAUUUAUUGUAAACAAACAUGGGAGUUUGGCACAAUGAAUUCUUAAUAUCUUAGUAUAAAGUAUGGUAAAAUGGUAUUUUGAUUUAUUGUAGACAAAUUAAGUUUUGGCACAUUAAGUUCUUAAUCCAUAAUAAAAUAAAUAGGAAAAUAAUUUUAAUUUAUACAAUUAAUCUUUUGGGAAAUAAAACAAAAAUAAAAAGAAUUUGUUAAAUUGUAUUUAUUACUAAAAGUUGAUCCAUAACCCUAACUAAUUCAAUUUCAUAGUUUUUUCUAAAAUUAAAUUUCAUAUUUUUAAUUUUAAUUUUAAGUUUUUAACUUAAAUAAACAAAUAAAAUCAUUUCUUUAUGGAUCGACCUCGGACUCACCGAGUUAUAAUAUAACAAGACACUUUUAUACUUGAGAGUUAGAAUUCACUUCUAAUUCAUGUCACAGGUCCCCAUGGAGGAAAACAGUCUUUACAUCGAACUGUUACACUAGCCAAUCCAAGUUUACUGAUAAUGAUAAUAAGAUACGAACUAUAUUAAUUUUUGCUACCGGUGCAAAUGUAUCGGUAUAAUCUAUCCCGUAGGUUUGGGUGUAACCCUUAGCUACGAGCCGUACUUUGUAUCGUUCAAUGGAGCCAUCUGCCUUGUACUUUAUAGUGUAGAUCCAUCGGCAACCCAUUGGUUUCUUUCCUGGUGGAAGCUAGUUCCCAUGUUUGAUUUUUCUGAAGCGAUCUCAUUUCGUCAUUCAUAACCGUUUUUCACUUUGGAUCUUUUAAGGCUUCAUGCACACUGUUAGGAAUAAAUAAAGUAGAUAAUUCAUUCACAAAUAACUUAUUUGAUUCUGACAAGCGAUGAUUAGAUACAAAAUGACUCAUAGGGUAUUUGACUCUACUAGAGAUGUCAUGCUCAUAUGUGGGUUUAGGGAUACCUCUAUUUUGACGCUAGGAAAGUAUUCUUCUAAUUAGACUGAGAUUUUUGGUAGGAACAUCCUCAGGAGAUGAUUGGUUAUGUAUUUCUUCAUGUGCUUCUUCUUGGGAUUCGUUCUCUAUUGUGGUUGUGUCUGAGUUAUUUUGCUCCCUAAAUGUGUCUUCACUUAUCUCAGCUUGAGAAUCAUCACCAUUUCCUUUUUCAGUAUCUUGAAGGUUUACUACCUCAAUAGAGGAUUGAUCUUUUUCAAGUGGAAGAUAUUUAAGAGUAUGAAUUUCCUCUUCAUUAUACUCCCCCUAAAAUUCAGGCUCCGAUGGGUAGUACAUGAUAUUUUCGUGAAAGACGACGUCCAUAGUGAAUUUCCUCUUCAUUACCAGUAGGUAUGGCUGCUGAAAAAGAAGAGAAAAGAGAAAUGAGUUUUACAGAAAAAGAUGAAGAAUAAGAUAAAUGGAUAAUGCAUUAUUCAUUAAAGCAUCAAAUACUGUUAUUGCGUGAAAGAGAUUUCUCUUUUUCUUUUGUUUAUCGCAGAAAUUUGGCUUUGCUUCUAACAUCUGGGCUUCUUCUCUUAAUUCUUAUGGUAAUUCGUUCAUUUCACUAAUGCUUUUUCUUCUCUUAUAUCUUUUUUUUUAGAUUUUCUUUUGAUCAUAUGAUGUGGCAAAAAAUACCUUGUUUAUAAAUCUUUAUCCUCAAUUUGAUAUGUUAAAUUGUCACUUAAUUUGAUGUGUAACAGUAAAGAAAUGAUCAAUUUUAUUGGAAAAUAGUAAAAUGACUAGGAAAACCAAGAAAACGUAUUAAUGCCUUUGUUUUUUUUCUUUUAAUAAUUGGAUUUCAUAUGAUGGGAGGCCAAAAUGACCCUGUUUACAAAUCUUUAUCUUCAAUUUGAACUGUUUUACUUCAAAACUGGAAUUAUUAAAUAAGAGUCAGUAUUAGUACAAAAGUUAAAUAUAAUAGCUUGGUCCCUUCUUUAUUAGGUGGAUAUGAUUUCAAGGUCACAUAUAUUUAGGGGCGAAGUUAGGAACCUUUUUCUAGCUAGUGGUUAGACUAAUAUUUUUUAAGUUUAAAAAAAAAAAGAUCUUAAAGUAAAGCUAUUGAAUUAAACCAUAACAAUAAGUUCACAUUUUUUAGGUUUUAAAAAUAUUUUGUGAAUUAUGUUUAUUUAAAAAUAAAAAUUAUUAAUCUGGAUGGUUCUAGAUUAUUGACUUUUAAUUAUUUUUAAUUAUCUAAUAAUGCUUAGUCUCCAGAGUACCCUUAUAAAUCAUAAAUAGACACUUUAAAGAAUUAAAAGCUAAAUGAGUGAUAAAUAUCUUGUUAUAAUUAGUUUACUUGAGGGCAAAAAUAGAUUUUUAAAAUAAGAUGGAGGGGGGAAGAAGUUGGGAAAAAUGACCGUGACCAAAUUUUAAGAAUGGCUUGAGUGAUAAACUGGUAAAUUAUGCUGUGGUGUUUUGUAAAAAAUAAUGUGGUGUUUUGUAAAAAAUAACAGUGGUAGCUAGUUUUAUAAAUUCUGCAUGGUAAUUUUGUGGACAACAUAGAAAAAAAAUAAAAACUAAAAAACUAAAUUAUUAUUAUUAUUAUUUUGACGUAUCUUGCUUAUUUGGAAGUCAACAUAAAUUGUAUAUUUGGAUGGACUAGAAACUGUGGUUCAGAAAUUCAAGGAGGAACGAUCAAAUUUGGACACCCUAAAGAAGCUGGGAGCAUCCAUUCUCCAUGGGGUUGAUGCAACUGAAAUGAAGGAACAUCCUGAAUUGAGCAAGCGGAAGUUUGAUAGAAUAAUCUUCAACUUCCUCGGCCCAUGCUGGCUUUCAUGGAAAGGAAGACGCGACGAAGUUAUUCGGUGAGCUGCCUAGUGAGUCCAAUGGACAUGUGUCACUAGAGUGAGUUACAAUGUUUGUAUAUAAUACGAGGGAGCUUGAUAAAUAAAGUGAUCCAUAUUUCUUAAUAAUUCGAGAUGCAUGUAGUGUUCAGGAGUUUGCUGGGAUAUUUCCACUUCACCAAUUCUUAAAAAGUUGGCUCCUACACCUAUUCCAUGAUCUUUCUUCCGGUAAUUUUCACAGAAUGCAUAUGAGCCUUGUGGAAGGAUUCUUCAGAAAUGCAAGUAGUAUGCUAAGGACUGAUAGUGAAGUUCAUGUAAGCCACAAAACAACAGCUCCAUUUUUCAAAUGGCAUAUCAAGGAACUCGAUAGCAAACACUCUUUUGGCAAGACUUCACUGUGUCCAAUUUGGAAAAAAUAGACAUCCCAGGUCACAACAACAAGAAAGGAGCUGGUUCGCAAUGCGAUGACCAUUUUCCCUUGAGAAAGUGCAGUACGUUCAAAUUUGGAUUCUAUCGUGCUCGCAAGAGGUCUAAAGUAAUGAGUUAUAGUGGAUUUGCUAUCAAAAGACCUAAGGCUAUUCAAGAGAUUCCAAUCCAAGCGCAGAAGCGUGAAACGGAUCCAUUUGACUGGAGAUAUACUAAUGCAAGGUCAGCUACUGAUGUGAAUGAAUUUACAUUGUGUGUGAAGUUUGAUGAUAGCUGGGUGGGUUACUCUGUUCCAAGCUUCGCCAGAAAUAUGACUGAUCGUCCAGGAUAUAAGAGACAAGCUUUGAUGAGUAAUGCUACGUCCCAUAAUGGCUGCUUUAAUACUCCCAACACGACGCUUGGAACAGUUGCUGACGACUUUCGCUAUCUUGUUCCCGAAUCACCAAUUCCAUAUGAAAGAUAUAACACGGAAGUAGCAGGAUUCCAAAGAGAAAUGCUAGGAGUUAUGAUAAAGCAGUGCGACCAGGAAGAACCUAAAAACGGAUUUUUGUAUCCUAUGGUGGGACGUCACUGUGAGGGAACUUUGAGACCAGCACAGCCGCCAAGGAUGAGAUUGGGAUUUAGUCACCAGCUGCUUUAAAGGAGAAGUGGUGCUAUUAUGCUUUCGUGGAAGAUUGAGCGACUUUUUGUCUUUAGUCGUGAAUUCUAUCUAGUUAAGCAUAUAUAGGUAUCGUAGUGCUGGUAAAAAGUUUUGAUUUGCUUUCAUUUGUGUUUGUUUUAACAAUUAAGAAUUUCAGCAAUCUGUUAGUGUGUUGCAUGGUGUUGUCAAUCUCCCAUUUGCAAAGAACUCGAUCUGUUUCCUGUUGAUAGAACUAAAUUUAGCUUAACAAUAUCGAUGAACUCAUCAAUGCAUUCACCACAAGGAAGAUACUCCUCCAUCGGUCAAUUAAGACAUGCAAAUUAUAGUAAUGCUACAAUUAAUAUACUUUUAUCAGUGUUAUUAUGUAAUAUAUGCUUAUGUGAGUGGUUGCUGCUGUGAGUUAAUGUAAUCUUUGUAUAUCUAAGACAAUAAUUUUAGAAUUGUUGUAAUUCUAUUGUCAUCAUAUCGUAAUCAGGUUUUAAUUAAAAAAAAAAAAAAAUUGUGUCCCAAUGUGAUUACCACUGCUGUAUGUUAACUUAUGCGGAAUGAUGCAUGCCUUAUUUAUGUUUGAGUUUUCAAAUUAUUUUAAUCAAACAUGUGCAGUUGAUAAGAAUUGUCCUUAGUUUUAGAUUCGAUAUACUAGCAAUCAUCAAGUAAUUGAUUAUCACAUAUAUUUUGGAAGUAGGAUCUAGUACAAUUGAUAAAUAGGCCAAUCCCAAACACGUACUAAGGAGUUGUUUGUUUUUUGUUUAAAGUCUAAAUUUUACUUAUUUUCAGACAUUUAUUGUUUUUAAUUUAUUAGUUUUCUAUCACUUAUGUUUGGUUAUAAGAUGUUUAUGUCUGAAUUAAAAAACUUAAAUAUUUUAACUUUUAUCUAAAUGACAAAAUAUCUAAAUAUAACUUUAAUAUUCUAUCACUUAUGUCACUGUCAGGACACUUUGAAAUUAGCAUAGUUGCCAAGGAUAAGGUUGGGUUUUAGCUGCCAGCUUUUAGGGAGAAGUGGUGGUGUAGUACCCCAAUUCUCCUAAGGAUAUUUACGUCUUUUUAAUUUUUAAUGAUCUUUUUUAUCUUAGUAUAAAUAGAAUAAGAUGUCUUUUCCAUUAUAAGAGAGAGAGAGAGAGAGAGAGAGAUGGAGAGAAAAGAGAGAGAAUAAAAGAAAAAGAAAAGAAGAAAGUCUUUUUCUUUGUUCUGUCAUAGGCAACACAUGGGAUCAAGUUGUUAUUGUUGGGAGAAGUUUUGGAGGUAAGUUUUAAUUAUUGGUUUCUAUUAAAUUGUUGUGGAGAAGCAUGAUUGCAAUAGAAGUAGAAACCUAAGAUUUUGCAGAAAUAUGCUGAUAGUGAAUUAUUACGAAAAUCAUAGUAAUUUGUCCAAAUUGAUUUUGAUUCUGAUUUUUGGAUAUGUAAAACUAGGCAUCGUCUAGAAUGUUUUGAAACUUGUUUCAAGUUAAUCGGAUAAGAUUUCAAUUAAUUAUGAUUUUUCAAAUUCAAGUCUGAAAACCUGGAAAUUUAUGAUUUCAGUGAAUAACAUGAAAUACGAAAUUAUUUUUACCAUAGCCAGACUUCUUCAAAAAUUAUGAAAUUUGGACCAAUGAUUUUUAUAAAUGUCUAGUAUGAUUCUGUAAAUUUUCAUGAUUUUAUGAUAAAGCAAUAAAUUGUUUUGUAUUUUUAAAGCAAGUGUGUUCAAAACAGAAAACUGUUUGACAGUAUUGAUGAUGUCUGAAACGUCAAUUAUUUUCAAUAGUUUUUGAAGGAAUUAAGUUAUGAAAUUUUUAUCAAUGAACUUUCAAUGUGUCAGCAUAUGGUCUGUAAAAUUUGAGAUUCUUCCAAUAAGGGAAUAAUUUAUUAAAACUCGGAGAAUAUGGACUGUUAUGUUUUGAGGGCCGAUUAUUGAGGACAUUGAGGUUGGGCUUAGGAGAUGUUUAAAUUGAGAUAUUUGAGGACAUUAGAGUUUAUGAUUGAGACUUGAUUAUAUCUUAUACGAUAUUUAUUGAUGAUUUUAGGUUGAUGAUAUCAGUACGCAUUUGUUGCAUGAGGAUGCCAAGAGGUAAGUAAACUAGACUUUAAAAACGAAUCACAAUAAACAAUAUAUAUGUUUGACUUGUAUGAGAAGCCUAUUUUGAUAUGUACGAAUAUAGAUUUAUAUGUCUCUGCUCAUGUGUUUAUGUGAUGUUUUGUUAUGUAUUGGGCGUGAUUAUGUACAUGGGCAUAUGUAUGUGUGAUGGUCCAUUGGCAUGAACAUGAAAAUGCAUUGCGUUUUCUAUGAAUGAGAAAGUGGAUUUUAGCAAAUGAGAUUUUUGUUUUAUGAGAUUUUGCAUUGGGGGCCAGCUCUUGAAGUUGUGUGGGGACCACCUCUUGAGACUAUGCAGGGGUCAUCUCUUGAGGGCCACAGCGCCGCAAAGUGCCACGCAUGGUGCAAAGUGUCACUCACAGCACAAAGUGCCACAAUGGCAGAAUAUGUAUUUCAUUGAAAAAAAAAUGAGAAAGUUUAAAAGCGACAGAAAGAUAUUUUUAUGAAUUUGUUUUACAGUAUUUCUAAAAGAUCAUGGCAUAGCAUCCAUCCGCAUUAUUUAUAAGUAUGUAUGUAUUUUCGUAUAAAAAAAAAAAACUAGUUUGCUUACUGAGUUUUGUACUCAUUAUAGUUUAUUGUGAUUCAGUUUUCAGAAGUCAGGAAUGAUUCAUAAUGAAUGAUAAGGUAGACUUGAAUUGAGGAUGAUAGAUGGUUUAGCUAAAUUUUCAAAUUAUUCCGCUGCCUAUUAUAUUGGAGGUUUGAAUUAUUUUGGUUAUUUAAAUUCAUAUGUUAGUGUGGUCAAAUUUGCCCUCGGAGUUCGGGCUAGGGUAUUACAGGUGGUGUUAUGCUUUUGUGGAAACUUGAGCAUCCUUCUACCUUGUGAAUUCUAGUUAAGCAUAGGUUUCCUAGUACAGGUUGAAAGCAUUGAUCAGCUUCCACUUUUGUUUCUUUUAAGAAUUAAGAAUUUCAAUUAUCUGUUGGUGUGUUGUGUAGUGUUACCAACCUCCUAUUUGCAAAUCGCUUGCUCUGUUGCCGUGUAUUUUGGGCAAUCUUUCAAAUGCAACGUCAAUGAAACGAUGCAAAUGGAUACCUCUAGAAACAGAUUCACUUUAUACAAACAGUUCCUGAGCUAUAGACUUAGACAACCUUUCAGGUUGCUAUCAAGUCUGAGUCGUUUCUAUUCAAAAACCAUUAAUGAUUUUUUUUUCUUUUCGUGUUUUAAAAUCUCUCCUACUUCAUUUUCAAUUUCUAGUCAGCAAUCCGCCCUAUUUAAGUCACUGGACUUGUCAUGGCAGUCGCGAUUUCGUAUCAACUGACGUACAACUACCAGCCUAUGUGAUAGCCUAUGUGAAUAGAUUACGUAUUAAAUAUUUUAAGAGCACACCUGCUCCACACACGUUAGUGGGAGAGAUAGCUAACCCAACUCAAAGUCAAAAUUUGGGCGCGGCGCUGAGGGUUGGGGAAUUAAUGCUUGGACUCGAACCAAUUCCAUUGGUAAAUUUCCACGGUAUUUGUAAGGGAGAUAUUUAGCCCUGCCAAAAUAAAUUUACUAUAUGGCACAGCAAAAUUUCUACCCUAUUAGUAAAAGAAGCUGCCACUUUAGAAAAAUUUUCCUCACUUCUCCAUGACCUCGAAAUAAAUAACUUCGUAGUCCAGAAUGACUGAUUUAAUCAAGCACAGCAAAGUACUGAGAGCCGAGUGUUUAUACAUAAUUAUCUUUGAUUAUGUGUAUUUUAUUAAAUUAUUUAUACAGAGUGUUUAGAAAAUUUUGACUCUUUAUUAUUCAAUAUAUUUACAUGGAAUGCUUAAAUAUCAUACUAUUAAAUAGAAAAAGAACUUAUACAAGAUUAAUUUUAUUUGGGCUUAAUUAUUAUAUCCAUGAGAUGACAUAGAUUGAUUUCGAGUUGUCGCUCUAAAAUUGGGGAUUAAUUAAUAAUUAGGCAAUUACUAAUUGAAUAGUGAUAGAUUCUGAAACCUUGGUAAUUUUUGUCUUAUUGAAUUCUCAUUUGCUUUAAUUGUUUUAUUAAUUUAAUUAGUUUCAUUCCUCUUAAAAAACUCAAUUUGCCCAACUAGGUUAGAAUUAAUAUUAAUUUUAGAUUUAAAUUAGACUUUUCAGUUUAUAACAAUUCAUGUGGGUUCGACCUCGUUACCAUUACUCUAUUUUUAAAUUUGUGCGCUUGCAAGUAAAUUAAAAUUUUUCACAGAUUUGUUGCCCGUGUAUAGAACUAAAAUUAGCUUAACAAUGGCAUGUGACAUCAGUUCCUCCUUUUAUUUUGAUUGUCAUUGCUCAAAUUGUCAUUAUAAAUUGCCCCAGAAUUUUUAUAAGUAUGGCCUCUUUAACUUCUCACAAAUUGAGAGCAGAAUGUAUGUGCCUCAUUUUUGGUCUAAUGUGCCUGAAUCUUGAACAGAGAAUAGAGGUUGAAUAGAUAUUUUGGCUAAGUGGAUAUUUUCUUGAACAGGGGACUUUAUUAAUGCAAGAGAACAGUGUGCUAAUGCUUUUCAAAGAUAAAUUCAGUUUCCGCGUACAUUCGAGAUUCCAAGGUGAAUGUCCCUUUUCCUUUACAAACUUGUGAAGCUUUCAAACAAUCAAUUUUUCUUACAUUGUAUAUUUGGAAGAAUUAGAACAAGGGAGCAAAAGAUUCUCAUGCUGAUAGUUCCCAUUCUCCAUAAUUGAUUGUAGCGCGUGUUUUAAAGCAUAUCUAGCAUUAAUGAAUGAAGUAGAAAUUUCAGGAAGCCAAGAAACUUUGUGAGCACUGAUUGCCUCUAGAUUGUACAUUCAAUUGAUCUCGUCUUGGUUGAAGUAGAUGAUAGUAAAUAGUAUCUGAGUUUCAUUUCAGAUUCCAAAAACAAUCCUCCAUGUGAAUGGUUAAGUAGAGAUUCACGUUGUUUUCUUUUUCUUUAGAGGAAUGGCUGACUCCUUUGAUCAUGAAAUUAUAUCACGGCUAUCACAAAAACUCAAGUAAUUCUAUUCAUAUAAUCAAAAUAGAGUUGAGUUCGAGCUCCUUCAUUUUAACUAAUUUAUUAUGAUGCAUAACCACAAAUGAUGAGAUGAUGUUGGAUAUGAUAAUGGGAAUUAGUUGUCAACGAGAAAAUUAAUUUCGCAAGAAUACAGUUAGUCGCAGAACUCUCCUAGUCCUUGGAAGUAAUUUAAAGGACAGGUGCAUCAAUUUGUUUGUGUAGCUUACUGUAUGGUUAGAGAGUGUUGUGUUUUCAAAAGAAUUCAAAUGCGUUACAAAACGGUGCCAUCAAACAAGUUUUUCAUUUUUUUCUUUUUAAAAAAACAAAAGACACCAUGAUUAUAUAGUUUCUCAUUUCUUCUUAUUUUUGGCUGUAAUGCAACAAUAAAUAUUGAUUAAGCAAAUUAGUUUUCAGGAAUACUUGAAGGAUACAUUACACAAGAUAUAAAGAGGAGAUUAAACAAUCCUCCAUGCUGGCUUAGUAAUGACUGUGGUGCAAUUUUGCAAAAGAUUAUAUGCCCGAUAAAAAGAGAGCAUCUGUGGUCAAGUGUGCGCCACACAUAUUAUCGAGUGCGAUAGCGCGUGGGAUGAGCUUUCUUAAGAGGGCGCUGGGCACCACAGCAAAGCUUCCCCAAUGAAAGCUCGCCACUCAUUAAGCUACUCCAGAUAUACACGGCUGCAAAAAUAAACAAAUCAACUUGCAAUAAAAUAAAUAUUAAAAUAAACUGAAAAAAGCUCAAAUGCCGACAAAUUCCACUUUGCUUCAAAAUUAACUUUAUAGUAAGUAUGAAGAAUAAAAUAUAAACAAUCAACUUCCAAGUUGAAAAUUCUGCAUUCUUAAACCAAUGUUCAAACAGUGUAUGCUGAAGCAUCGAUCUGCUUUGUAAAUUAGACCUGCUGGCGUGAUAUGGCGGAGGCUGCGGUGAACUUUGCUAUAGAGACCUUGGGUCCUUUGCUUGUCGAAGAAAUCAGAUUGUGGGGAGGUGUUAGAAAAGAAGUUCAAAGCAUCAAAAGCGAACUGGACAGUCUCAGAUCUUUCCUCAAAGACGCGGAUGCAAGGGCAGCAGUCGAAGAAUUAGAAGGAGGCGGUGAGGAAAGUGUCAGAACUUGGGUGAAACAACUGAGGGAUGAAGCUUAUCGCAUUGAAGAUGUGAUCGACGGGUACACACUCAUGGUGGCAAAACUCCCUCAUGGGAGUGGCCUCGUUGGUGUUCUCCAUAGAAUCAGUCGUUUCAUAAAGAAGCUGAAGCUGCGGCGUGGAGUUGCUACUGAGAUUCAAGAUAUCAAAUCAGCGCUUGCUGAUAUAAAGGGAAGGGGAGAAAGAUAUCGAUUCAGAUCUAUUGAUGAACCAUCGAGCAGUGGAACCAGAAAUGUUAUCCCACAUGACUCUCGAGUUCGUUCCUUUUUCGUUGAAGAUGAUGAAGUUGUGGGCAUCGAAUCCAUUAAAGAUAAAUUGAUUGAUUUGAUGGGGAACGGAAGAUCCGAAC
This 27425-nucleotide long non-coding RNA is filed under the name Citrus maxima (pomelo). RNAcentral describes it as "long non-coding RNA (CMAX_LNC001945)". Lineage: Eukaryota; Viridiplantae; Streptophyta; Magnoliopsida; Sapindales; Rutaceae. The record is from RNAcentral.